GAUGAACGCUGGCGGCGUGCUUAAUACAUGCAAGUCGAACGAUGAAGCCCAGCUUGUUGGGUGGAUUAGUGGCGAACGGGUGAGUAACACGUGAGCAACCUGCCCCUGACUCUGGGUUAAGCGCUGGAAACGGCGCCUAAUACUGGCUAUGUCCUGUCACCGCCCGGAUUGCGGGUGGAAAGAUUAUUCGGUUGGGGAUGGGCGCGCGGCCUAUCAGCUUGCUGGGGAGGUAAUGGCACACCAAGGCGUCGACGGGUAGCCGUCCCGAGAGGGGGACCGGCCUCAAUAGGACUGAGAGACGGCGCAGUCUCGUACGUGAGGCAGCAGUGGGGAGUAUUGCACAAUGGGCGGAAGCGUGAUGCGGCAACGUCGCGUGAGGGAUGACGGCCUUCGAGUUGUAAACCAAUUUUAGCAGAGAAGAAGCGAAAGUGACGGUACCUACAGAAAAAGCACCGGCUAACUACGUG
RNAcentral lists this ribosomal RNA (467 nucleotides) under uncultured bacterium. RNAcentral's name for it is "partial 16S ribosomal RNA". It matches the Rfam family "Bacterial small subunit ribosomal RNA", at positions 28 to 507 of the family's 1533-position model. The record is from RNAcentral.